UCCCCCAGUAGCGGCGAGCGAACGGGGAGCAGCCCAGAGUCUGAAUCAGCUUGUGUGUUAGUGGAACGGUCUGGAAAGUCCGACGGUACAGGGUGAUAGUCCCGUACACCAAAAUGCACAGGUUGUGAACUCGAAGAGUAGGGCGGGACACGUGGUAUCCUGUCUGAAUAUGGGGGGACCAUCCUCCAAGGCUAAAUACUCCUGACUGACCGAUAGUGAACCAGUACCGUGAGGGAAAGGCGAAAAGAACCCCGGCGAGGGGAGUGAAAAAGAACCUGAAACCGUGUACGUACAAGCAGUGGGAGCCUACUUGUUAGGUGACUGCGUACCUUUUGUAUAAUGGGUCAGCGACUUAUAUUCUGUAGCAAGGUUAACCGUAUAGGGGAGCCGAAGGGAAACCGAGUCUUAACUGGGCGUUAAGUUGCAGGGUAUAGACCCGAAACCCGGUGAUCUAGCCAUGGGCAGGUUGAAGGUUGGGUAACACUAACUGGAGGACCGAACCGACUAAUGUUGAAAAAUUAGCGGAUGACUUGUGGCUGGGGGUGAAAGGCCAAUCAAACCGGGAGAUAGCUGGUUCUCCCCGAAAGCUAUUUAGGUAGCGCCUCGUGAAUUCAUCUUCGGGGGUAGAGCACUGUUUCGGCUAGGGGGUCAUCCCGACUUACCAACCCGAUGCAAACUGCGAAUACCGAAGAAUGUUAUCACGGGAGACACACGGCGGGUGCUAACGUCCGUCGUGAAGAGGGAAACAACCCAGACCGCCAGCUAAGGUCCCAAAGUCACAGUUAAGUGGGAAACGAUGUGGGAAGGCACAGACAGCCAGGAUGUUGGCUUAGAAGCAGCCAUCAUUUAAAGAAAGCGUAAUAGCUCACUGGUCGAGUCGGCCUGCGCGGAAGAUGUAACGGGGCUAAACUGUGCACCGAAGCUGCGGCAGCGACACUAUGUGUUGUUGGGUAGGGGAGCGUUCUGUAAGCCGUUGAAGGUGUGUCGUGAGGCAUGCUGGAGGUAUCAGAAGUGCGAAUGCUGACAUAAGUAACGAUAAUGCGGGUGAAAAACCCGCACGCCGGAAGACCAAGGGUUCCUGUCCAACGUUAAUCGGGGCAGGGUGAGUCGACCCCUAAGGCGAGGCCGAAAGGCGUAGUCGAUGGGAAACAGGUUAAUAUUCCUGUACUUGGUGUUACUGCGAAGGGGGGACGGAGAAGGCUAUGUUAGCCGGGCGACGGUUGUCCCGGUUUAAGCAUGUAGGCGGGUGUUUUAGGUAAAUCCGGAACACUACUAACGCUGAGGUGUGAUGACGAGGCACUACGGUGCUGAAGUAACAAAUGCCCUGCUUCCAGGAAAAGCCUCUAAGCAUCAGGUAACACGAAAUCGUACCCCAAACCGACACAGGUGGUCAGGUAGAGAAUACCAAGGCGCUUGAGAGAACUCGGGUGAAGGAACUAGGCAAAAUGGUGCCGUAACUUCGGGAGAAGGCACGCUGAUAUGUAGGUGAAGCGGUUUACCCGUGGAGCUGAAAUCAGUCGAAGAUACCAGCUGGCUGCAACUGUUUAUUAAAAACACAGCACUGUGCAAACACGAAAGUGGACGUAUACGGUGUGACGCCUGCCCGGUGCCGGAAGGUUAAUUGAUGGGGUUAUCCGUAAGGAGAAGCUCUUGAUCGAAGCCCCGGUAAACGGCGGCCGUAACUAUAACGGUCCUAAGGUAGCGAAAUUCCUUGUCGGGUAAGUUCCGACCUGCACGAAUGGCGUAAUGAUGGCCAGGCUGUCUCCACCCGAGACUCAGUGAAAUUGAACUCGCUGUGAAGAUGCAGUGUACCCGCGGCAAGACGGAAAGACCCCGUGAACCUUUACUAUAGCUUGACACUGAACACUGGUCCUUGAUGUGUAGGAUAGGUGGGAGGCUUUGAAGUGUGGACGCCAGUCUGCAUGGAGCCAACCUUGAAAUACCACCCUUUAAUGGCUGGUGUUCUAACGUGGACCCGUGAUCCGGGUUGCGGACAGUGUCUGGUGGGUAGUUUGACUGGGGCGGUCUCCUCCUAAAGAGUAACGGAGGAGCACGAAGGUUAGCUAAUCCUGGUCGGACAUCAGGAGGUUAGUGCAAAGGCAUAAGCUAGCUUGACUGCGAGAGUGACGGCUCGAGCAGGUGCGAAAGCAGGUCUUAGUGAUCCGGUGGUUCUGAAUGGAAGGGCCAUCGCUCAACGGAUAAAAGGUACUCCGGGGAUAACAGGCUGAUACCGCCCAAGAGUUCAUAUCGACGGCGGUGUUUGGCACCUCGAUGUCGGCUCAUCACAUCCUGGGGCUGAAGUAGGUCCCAAGGGUAUGGCUGUUCGCCAUUUAAAGUGGUACGCGAGCUGGGUUUAGAACGUCGUGAGACAGUUCGGUCCCUAUCUGCCGUGGGCGCUGGAGAAUUGAGGGGGGCUGCUCCUAGUACGAGAGGACCGGAGUGGACGCAUCACUGGUGUUCGGGUUGUCAUGCCAAUGGCAUUGCCCGGUAGCUAAAUGCGGAAGAGAUAAGUGCUGAAAGCAUCUAAGCACGAAACUUGCCCCGAGAUGAGUUCUCCCUGAGACUAUAAGUCUCCUGAAGGAACGUUGAAGACGACGACGUUGAUAGGUCGGGUGUGUAAGUGUAGCGAUACAUUGAGCUAACCGAUACUAAUGAACCGUGAGGCUUAACCUU
This 2673-nucleotide ribosomal RNA is filed under the name Citrobacter sp. Cy082. RNAcentral describes it as "partial 23S ribosomal RNA". It matches the Rfam family "Bacterial large subunit ribosomal RNA". Lineage: Bacteria; Pseudomonadati; Pseudomonadota; Gammaproteobacteria; Enterobacterales; Enterobacteriaceae. The record is from RNAcentral.